Molecule: ribosomal RNA, 253 nt
Filed under: uncultured bacterium
Lineage: Bacteria
Description: partial 16S ribosomal RNA
Rfam family: Bacterial small subunit ribosomal RNA
Source: RNAcentral
UACAGAGGGGGCAAGCGUUGUUCGGAAUUACUGGGCGUAAAGGGCGCGUAGGCGGCCUUCUAAGUCGAACGUGAAAUCCCCGGGCUCAACCCGGGAACUGCGUCCGAUACUGGAAGGCUUGAAUCCAGGAGAGGGAUGUGGAAUUCCAGGUGUAGCGGUGAAAUGCGUAGAUAUCAGGAAGAACACCCGUGGCGAAAGCGGCUCUCUGGAACGGUACUGACGCUGAGACGCGAAAGCGUGGGGAGCGAACAGG